GUACACUCCUGCGGGAGGCAGCAGUGGGGAAUAUUGCACAAUGGGCGCAAGCCUGAUGCAGCCAUGCCGCGUGUAUGAAGAAGGCCUUCGGGUUGUAAAGUACUUUCAGCGGGGAGGAAGGCAAUACGGUUAAUAACCGUGUUGAUUGACGUUACCCGCAGAAGAAGCACCGGCUAACUCCGUGCCAGCAGCCGCGGUAAUACGGAGGGUGCAAGCGUUAAUCGGAAUUACUGGGCGUAAAGCGCACGCAGGCGGUCUGUCAAGUCGGAUGUGAAAUCCCCGGGCUCAACCUGGGAACUGCAUUCGAAACUGGCAGGCUUGAGUCUUGUAGAGGGGGGUAGAAUUCCAGGUGUAGCGGUGAAAUGCGUAGAGAUCUGGAGGAAUACCGGUGGCGAAGGCGGCCCCCUGGACAAAGACUGACGCUCAGGUGCGAAAGCGUGGGGAGCAAACAGGAUUAGAUACCCCAGUAGUCCCAUG
Molecule: ribosomal RNA, 477 nt
Filed under: uncultured organism
Description: partial 16S ribosomal RNA
Rfam family: Bacterial small subunit ribosomal RNA
Source: RNAcentral